This 253-nucleotide ribosomal RNA is filed under the name uncultured bacterium. Its description in RNAcentral is "partial 16S ribosomal RNA". It matches the Rfam family "Bacterial small subunit ribosomal RNA", at positions 524 to 776 of the family's 1533-position model. The record is from RNAcentral.
UACAGAGGGUGCGAGCGUUAAUCGGAAUUACUGGGCGUAAAGCGUGCGCAGGCGGUUGUGCAAGACAGAUGUGAAAUCCCCGGGCUUAACCUGGGAACUGCAUUUGUGACUGCAAGGCUGGAGUGCGGCAGAGGGGGAUGGAAUUCCGCGUGUAGCAGUGAAAUGCGUAGAUAUGCGGAGGAACACCGAUGGCGAAGGCAAUCCCCUGGGCCUGCACUGACGCUCAUGCACGAAAGCGUGGGGAGCAAACAGG